UAAAUUUCAUUAUCUCUCUGUCCGUCUCUCUCUCUUUCUGCGAAUUCGAAAUUUGAAAAUUUAUCUUGGCUUCCGCAAUCUCCCGCUCAAGACCAAAUCUUUAGAGCACAGAUCUAACCUUCUCUUCACCUAGAUACCUCUGCACAGCACUUUCUCUCUCGCACACAAUCCAGAUUAUUAGAUCUCAACAAAAAUCAUCCCCAAAUUUUCAAUUAAAUCAUUUCUAGGGUUUUCAUUCUCUGAAAAUCCUAAAUUUGAAGUGAUUCAAGGAGCCAAGAUCAAAGAUCUGAGUAUUGCAUUUCACGAGCUGAAUCGGAGACGAGUCUACCUAAAUAGUGUGUGUUUUAUUUAUGGGGCGAACAAGUUUUAACAGUGAGCUUAGCUAAACUAAAGAUAUGAACAAGACUAGCACUCAUGAUUUUAAGUGCGAGAGAAAAGCAUCAUCCAAGGAUAGAGAAGCAAACUCACAAGCCUACUACUUCAGUCUCUGAUGACAAAGCUCCUUACAUUGCUAAAGCUGGAGAGAGUAUCAUUAAGUCAUGCAAGCCAACCAUAAGAAACAUGCAGCGCAUGGUGUUUGGUGACUUCUGAAAGCCAUGAUCCUAGCCAGUGCGAUUUGGUGCCGUCUGAGAGCCAUCGUCCUAGCCCCUGCGAUUUGGUGAUGUCUGAAAGCCAUGGUCCUAGUCAGUGGGGUUUGGUGACGUCUGAAUGCCAUGGUCCUAGCCUGUGGUAUUUGGUGUUGUCUGAACCCCAUGGUCCUAGUGCGUGGUAUUUGGUGUCGUCUGUACCCCAUGGUCCUAGCCCGUGGCAUUUGGUGUCGUCUGAACCUCAUUGUCUUAACCCGUGGCAUUUGGUGUCGUCUGAACCCCAUGGUCCUAGCCCGUGGCAUUUGGUGUCGUCUGAACCUCAUUGUCUUAACCCGUGGCAUUUGGUGUCGUCUGAAUUCUAUGGAGCGUGAGGUUGUUUCCAUUGGUUCUACUAGGUGCUAGUCAACUUCAUCGACAAAUGCUUGAGAACAUUCACAUAACAUCAUGGUCAAGAGAACUUGACAUAGUUCCGAAGACAGCGCAUGGUAGUUGGUGUCUUCUGAAAGCCAUGGUUCUAUCCCGUGGGAUUUGGUGACGUCUGAAAGUCAUAGUCCUGGCCAUAGCAUUUGGUGUCGUCUGAACCCCAUGGUCCUAGCCCCUGGCGUUUGGUGCCGUCUGAAUACUAUGGAGCAUCAAGUUGGUUCCGCUGGGUUUUUCUAGUGCUAGGCAACUUCAUCCAAGAAUGCAUGAGAUCGUUCAGAUAACAUCACUAUCAAGAGAGCUCGACACGGUUUUUAUAGUACUAGUAGAUCAUGACUCUAGAUUCUUGUGUUUCAAUAUUUAUUGAACUUGCUCUUUGUUCAUCGUUUUUGAGACAUUUUUUUUGUCUUUGGAAUUUUUUUACAGACAGUGCAUGGUAUUUGGUGUCUUCUGAAAGCCACGGUCCUAUCCUGUGGGAUUUGGUGACGUCUGAAAGUCAUAGUCCUGGCCAUGGCAUUUGGUGUCGUCUGAACCCCGUGGUCCUAGCCCCUGGCUUUUGGUGCCGUCUGAAUACUAUGGAGCGUCGAGUUGGUUCUGCUGGGUUUUUCUAGUGCUAGUUAACUUCAUCCAAGAAUGCAUGAGAUUGUUCAGAUAACAUCACAAUCAAGAGUACUCAACACGGUUUUUGAAGCUUCACCAGAUCCAAUGGAGUGGUAAAGGAGAAGCAGCGUCCACUGAUGCCAGGGCACUUUCAGGCCAUGACUCUUAAAAAUUUCAGACGGGUUUUAUGAAUUAUGAGCAAACACUGAUUAGAAAUCGACACAGAUGAACUGCAGAAUGAUACUUGACAGAUUGGUUGCUGGGAAUUCCGUUGCUUGGUCAAGUGAGGAACAGUACACCAGUACGAAGAUUAUGUAUCAAAUAAAAAGGUUCACAACACAAAAAUAGAAGGCUUUUGGUUUGGUCCUGAAUCAAAGGAGGAGAAAGAUCAUGUCAAUAGAGAAGAAUUAUAUUGAAGAAGAAAUGGUUGGAAAGAUUGCUAAAAAUACUUCCCUUUUAUAGCUCUAUUCAUUUGAUUACAGAAUUAUAUUCAAGGUCCUCAAACUCUAAGUUUUCAAUGUCUGCUGCCGAGGUUAAUUGGCUCAAUGAUUACCCCUCACAAUUCUGGAAGGAGGGCCAGGCCAGGAGGAAAACAUUGGAACUUCAGCUAAGCCUUCUUUAGAGGCUCAAGUAUUAAUUGGAAGGUCAUCUAAUGUGCCUUUUUGUCCAUUCUUGCUGGACUUUGUGCUCAAUUUAGAAUUAGUUCAGUGGGAAGAGUCAAUUUUGCUGGACUUUACUACUUACUGAACUCCAGAAGUCUUAAAUGGAUCUCCAACCUCAAUGUAAUGGAAUCAACAGUAAUAGUGAAACACUAACCCCGUGGAUGUAAGCCUUAUGCCGAACCACGUAAAAAUCUGCGUCUGACUCUCUAUUAACCACCUGA
Long non-coding RNA from Papaver somniferum (opium poppy), 2490 nucleotides. RefSeq lists it as uncharacterized. The transcript has 11 exons. NCBI's taxonomy places the organism in Eukaryota, Viridiplantae, Streptophyta, Magnoliopsida, Ranunculales, Papaveraceae. The record is from RefSeq and is a predicted model, not a curated record.